This 84-nucleotide transfer RNA is filed under the name Parcubacteria group bacterium. RNAcentral's name for it is "tRNA-Leu". It matches the Rfam family "tRNA". From Rfam's summary of the family: Transfer RNA (tRNA) molecules are approximately 80 nucleotides in length. Their secondary structure includes four short double-helical elements and three loops (D, anti-codon, and T loops). The record is from RNAcentral.
GCGCAGGUGGUGGAACGGUAUACACGUACGCUUGAGGGGCGUAUGCCGCAAGGCUUGGGGGUUCAAAUCCCCCCCUGCGCACCA